Molecule: ribosomal RNA, 291 nt
Filed under: Triticum aestivum (bread wheat)
Lineage: Eukaryota; Viridiplantae; Streptophyta; Magnoliopsida; Poales; Poaceae
Description: partial small subunit ribosomal RNA
Source: RNAcentral
AUGAAGUUAACGGCGUCGAGAUCUGGUGACCACGGGGAAGAUCCCCGACCGACGUGCCACAAAGUUUCGGUCUCGUCACUUGCGGCGGCUCGGUUCAUCAGCUCAAAAAACAUUUUUAUACGUGAUGGUGCUCUCCCGGAUCUUGGUAUGGCGGUUGUUCUUCUCUUUUUCGGCGUUGUCAUGGUGGCGGUGGGGGACGUUUAUGGACUAUGUUCGGGCGAGGCACAAGUUUUUUCAAGGGUGAAAUAGUAAUUUUACUUCUUGCGGAAUUUUUUGUGCAAAGUUGCUUGA